RNAcentral lists this ribosomal RNA (460 nucleotides) under uncultured bacterium. Its description in RNAcentral is "partial 16S ribosomal RNA". It matches the Rfam family "Bacterial small subunit ribosomal RNA", at positions 338 to 795 of the family's 1533-position model. The record is from RNAcentral.
CCUACGGGUGGCAGCAGUGAGGAAUAUUGGUCAAUGGGCGAGAGCCUGAACCAGCCAAGUCGCGUGAAGGAUGACGGCCCUACGGGUUGUAAACUUCUUUUGUCAGGGAGCAAAUGGGUCCACGCGUGGGCUUAGCGAUAGUACCUGACGAAAAAGCAUCGGCUAACUCCGUGCCAGCAGCCGCGUUAAUACGGAGGAUGGGAGCUUUAUCCGGAUUUAUUGGGUUUAAAGGGUGCGUGGGCGGAAUAUCAAGUCAGCGGGAAACAUUCGGGGCUAAACCCCGUCGUGCCGUUGAAACUGGUGGUCUGGAGUGGGCGAGAAGUAUGCGGAAUGCGUGGUGUAGCGGUGAAAUGCAUAGAUAUCACGCAGAACUCCGAUUGCGAAGGCAGCAUACCGGCGCCCAACUGACGCUGAAGCACGAAAGCGUGGGUAUCGAACAGGAUUAGAUACCCUAGUAGUC